Molecule: long non-coding RNA, 201 nt
Filed under: Elaeis guineensis (African oil palm)
Lineage: Eukaryota; Viridiplantae; Streptophyta; Magnoliopsida; Arecales; Arecaceae
Description: long non-coding RNA (EGUI_LNC034535)
Source: RNAcentral
GGUAAUGAAGGGCAAACUCCAUAAAAGUUGGUUUUCCUUCUUUCCGAAAAAGAUAUAUCCAAAAGAGUUUACUAAAAUGUUAGCUCCGGUGAAGAAGUAUGCCAAUACUGGCUAUGAACACUUGUAACGACCCCUCAAAGGGUACUACUGGGAAGAAGAGGGGGAGAAGCAAGGAGCGAAAGGACUCAUCCCACUAGAGCA